Bombina bombina (fire-bellied toad) is the source of this 1380-nucleotide long non-coding RNA. RefSeq lists it as uncharacterized. The record is from RefSeq and is a predicted model, not a curated record. The transcript is spliced from 2 exons. Lineage: Eukaryota; Metazoa; Chordata; Amphibia; Anura; Bombinatoridae.
GUUGUUCUGUCCAUAUAUUCAUAUGUACAUCUUUAAAUGCUAUUUUAGUUCUUGUGCUCCCUCUAGUGUUAUGUUUUAUUAUUGUAUUCAAUUUAAUGUAUAUUCUCUGUUCUACCUCUGACCUUUUUGAGGUCACUUCCUGCCUCCAUUUUGUUUCACUUGUGUGUGUAAAUUAGUUUCACUUUCAAUGUGUAAGUUUGCUAGAACUCUCUGCUAAUAGCUUUGUAGAGGCAAAUUCUUUUUACCUGGCAAUUACCACUUCUGGAACCUCAGAAUUCUUGUUUUGCAACAAUAAAGCAUGAAGGAUUCAUAAAUCUCUGCUGUGGAAUUUGUCUGAGUUAAGCUACUCUGCUGGAUUCUACUAAACUACUCCCUGUGACUCGAGUGUCUGUUUGCCAUGGGUAUCCACUGGUUGCCUUGUCUACCCCAUGAACAAACCAUCAGAUUUCCAGUAUCUCCCUGCGGAAGAACCGUGGAUAAGCACCCCUACUGCAAAUGAACUGUUGGAGAACUGUAUUAUAGCAAAGUGUCAAGGUGCAGCGCUCUCAAAUGGACAAAGACUGUUCUUAAAGUAUUCAGAGGCCACCUAGAGACAGUUGUGCUGUUGCUAUGUCAUGCUUUACUGUGGAAAAGGAACUGUUGGACAUAUUGGGGGGUGCUAGCAAUGCAGGUGGAGAGAUAGAAGAUGCAGCGUUGUUUGGGGGUAGAUGGGGGGCUGGUUGGGUCUCUGUGUUGGUAGACCGGUAGUUUUGGGAAGGCUGGAAGAUAGAUGGAAGGUAUUGGAGGGACUGUACCUAUAUGCAGUGACAAUUAGCCUAUAAAAGUAUAUCACGACAUGCGAAUAUUUUUCUCUUUAGUAUUCUCACAGAGUUCUGUUACCAUAAUAUAAGGCUUUACUAAUUUUCUAUGCCUGUCUAUUUUUAUGUUAUUCUGUUAGAAUAAAAGGAUGGUAUGUUAGGGGUAAUAUGAACCUGAUGGCAGCCAUCUUGUUCCCCGCAGCCAUCUUGUGAUGAUUAGCAUCCAUUUUGUAAUAAUUAGAAUUUAUUAUAGCAGUUAUUAUGCAGUGAGAAUUAUAUGCAUGUUAUGAGUUUCUUUAGCUAUUUGGCCUUGCCAAUGUACCCUGGCCUAAUGCCUAGAAGUAAGAUAGAAUAAGAUAAUGUAAACAAGAGGCUUUAGACACUCGGUUGUCUCUGCAGAUGGUAGUUUGUUAUGACUCUGUAAAUAUUGUUAUGAGAAACUCAUGUUCCAGUUUUUCCUUGUAAAUUGCUCUGUAUAACUGUGUAAGAUGACGCGGUCCUAACGUGUCAUCCCCUUAACCCUGUAUGUCACUAUAAGAAAGGCUUGCACUGUGCAAUAAACAGAAUUGGCUUUCGAUCAUAA